GUUAGAGGCAGAGCUUGUUAGAGGCAGAGGAUUUCUGCUAGUAGUGUUGGACUCCUUGCUGAAAACAGGGUCUCGCUAUGUUGUCCAGGCUGGAGUGCAGUGGCAGUUCACAGAUGGGAUCAUGAUGCACUACAGUCUUGAACUCCUGGGCUCAAGGGAUCCUCCUGCCUCAGCCUGUGUGAAGGUCCCAAGGUGGGGCGUGCCUGGCACGGUAAAGGUCCAGCGAGAAUCUCUGCAUGAGUGAAAGGAAGAAGAGGGUAAAAGGCCAGAGAAGUGAGUGGGGUGGGACCUCCAGGGCCUACUU
This 304-nucleotide long non-coding RNA is filed under the name Homo sapiens (human). RNAcentral describes it as "HSALNT0372882". Lineage: Eukaryota; Metazoa; Chordata; Mammalia; Primates; Hominidae. The record is from RNAcentral.